UACGGAGGGGACUAGCGUUGUUCGGAAUUACUGGGCGUAAAGCGAGUGUAGGCGGUCUGCCAAGUCUGUUGUGAAAUCUCCUGGCUCAACUGGGAGGGUGCGACGGAAACUGGCAGGCUUGAGUGCGGGAGAGGAGAGUGGAAUUCCUGGUGUAGCGGUGAAAUGCGUAGAUAUCAGGAGGAACACCGGUGGUGAAGACGGCUCUCUGGACCGCAACUGACGC
RNAcentral lists this ribosomal RNA (223 nucleotides) under uncultured bacterium. RNAcentral's name for it is "partial 16S ribosomal RNA". It matches the Rfam family "Bacterial small subunit ribosomal RNA", at positions 524 to 746 of the family's 1533-position model. The record is from RNAcentral.